AACGAACGCUGGCGGCAUGCCUAACACAUGCAAGUCGAACGAGACCUUCGGGUCUAGUGGCGCACGGGUGCGUAACGCGUGGGAAUCUACCCUUGGGUUCGGAAUAACUCAGAGAAAUUUGAGCUAAUACCGGAUGAUGUCGCAAGACCAAAGAUUUAUCGCCCAAGGAUGAGCCCGCGUAGGAUUAGCUUGUUGGUGAGGUAAAAGCUCACCAAGGCGACGAUCCUUAGCUGGUCUGAGAGGAUGAUCAGCCACACUGGGACUGAGACACGGCCCAGACUCCUACGGGAGGCAGCAGUGGGGAAUAUUGGACAAUGGGCGAAAGCCUGAUCCAGCAAUGCCGCGUGAGUGAUGAAGGCCUUAGGGUUGUAAAGCUCUUUACCCGGGUAUGAUAAUGACAGUACCGGGAGAAUAAGCCCGGCUAACUCCGUGCCAGCAGCCGCGGUAAU
This 449-nucleotide ribosomal RNA is filed under the name uncultured bacterium. Its description in RNAcentral is "bacterial SSU rRNA". It matches the Rfam family "Bacterial small subunit ribosomal RNA", at positions 29 to 524 of the family's 1533-position model. The record is from RNAcentral.